Unclassified non-coding RNA from Vigna unguiculata (cowpea), 3056 nucleotides. The record is from RefSeq and is a predicted model, not a curated record. NCBI's taxonomy places the organism in Eukaryota, Viridiplantae, Streptophyta, Magnoliopsida, Fabales, Fabaceae.
AGGUUCAGUGAAUGUGGAUGGGCAUUUACUUGCAUUAUCCUUGGGGCUCACCUCUCUAAUUAACCUAGCCCAUUCCCACGAAAAGAUUGGGCUUUCAAAUUUGGGUUGCCCAUCCCAAGGCCCAAAAUAGAAGACGCUUUUGAGAAUUUGAUAUUAGCAUUUAGCCGUUGUGAUUUCAAACUUUGAAAUCUAAAGAAAAAAACAGUACUCUAUUCCUCUCUUCGCUCAAUUGCUAAAUCUCAGAAAGAAAAGAACGUUACUCUUUUGCGCUCCAUUGCUCUCUUGCUUUAUUGGUUAAGAAGUUGGAUCUUGGAAAUGGAGAACCAUGAACGAUCAAUCCAUUCAAAUCCAAAUGCUCGCUGAAAAUUCCACCGCUUUGUUCUUUGACUACGUUCCUUCUGAGUCAGAUGAUGUAUCGAAGCAAGUGAACGAGAAACAGACUCCGUGGAUGAAAACACUAUGUCACAGCGAAUCCACCAAGUUUCUCCGGAUAAGGGUCACACACUUCCCAUAUUGAAGAAAAUACUUGAUCUCGACACUAAAAUUCAGGAUAUGAAGAAGCAUCAUAUAGCACUGUCUGAUGAAGUCCGUGCAGCUUUUCCGGUUGAAUCUUUUCCGGGCACUGCUGUUUUGAAGUCCGUGCAGACUAGAAAGUACUUGGAUGCGUGGUGUGUUUUCUUUUGGGCUACAACACCAACACUCUUCUCCCUUUCCACAUUUGGACUCUAUGCACUGAUGGGACAUCAACUUGAUGCUGCAAUGGUUUUCAGUUGUCUUGCAUUGUUCAACACCCUUAUUUCACCACUAAAUUCAUUCCCUUGGGUAAUUAAUGGAUUGAUUGAUGCCAUCAUAUCUUCUGGACGGUUGAGUAGGUUUCUCGCUUGUCCUGAACAUAAAUUUAAAAGGCAACAGCCUGAUUCUGAUCAAGGUUUGGGUGUAUUUAUCAAAGAUGCAUGUUGUACUUUGUCAAGUAGUGAGGAACAGGCAUUAAAUAUGGUGUUGAAUCAUGUGACUCUAAGUGUGUCCCAGGGUUCCUUUGUUGCAGUUAUUGGAGAGGUUGGUUCAGGUAAAUCAUCCCUGUUAUAUUCAAUCCUUGGAGAAAUGCAGCUUGUUCGUGGCUCUGUUUAUUCCAAUGAAUCCACUGCUUAUGUACCACAGGUCCCUUGGAUUUUAUCUGGAAGGGUGCACGACAACAUAUUAUUCGGGAAAAUUUAUGAUCCUGAAAGGUUCAGUGAAUGUGGAUGGGUAUUUACUUGCGUUAUCCUUGGGGCUCACCUCUAUAAUUAAGUAAGUUUAACUCUUGUGGUGUGUGUGUGUUUUGGGUUGUGUGUUUUUGUGGUGUGUGUUUUAUACUGUAUUGCAGUUUUAUACAAUAGUUUAGUUCAGUUAUCAGAAUUUGCAAUUUUAUCCUUUUCUAAGUUUAUUUUACGUUUUAGGUAGUUAGAUUUUUUGUUGUAACCGGUGUUGGUAGUUUGAACUGUCUUUUAGUCAUAUUUUGUCAUUAGAAACUUUUUACGAUAGUUAGAUUGCAGUUUCGUAGACCUUUCCAAGCCGAGGUAUCUGUUUAUGUCCUCCUACGAACAGGUUAUUCUUUAUAUCUAUGCAUAAUUCGCUCCUUUUUAACAUUGUCUGAUAAAUUGUGUGUGUUUUUAGUUCCUUGAUGAUGCAGAUUGAAUAUCCAGAGACUGUAGACCUUGCCAAGUUGAGGCACCGAUUUAUGUCCUCCUAUGAACAGAAGGUGCAACCCUUUGAUAAAAGAUAUCAGUACCUUCUGUUGUAGCUGAACCGUAUGAAAUAAUUGCAUUCAAGAUAUCCAAAUACAGGCCGAUUCAAGAGAAUCCAAGUCAUUUCACUUUAAGUGUAUGAAAUUCUUCCAGGACCCCUCCAACUAAUCCUUCUGUUGAUUAUCCGUUUGGUGAUUCAGAUCAUGUUUCUAAGAGAACAAGACCAAUGGGAAUAUCAUAUGAGUUGUUUGUUGGCACGAAUGUGGGGGACAUUGCUUUGUGGGAACUAGGCUCCAAUGAGCGGUUGUUGAUAAGGAACUUGAAAGUGUGGGAUCUUAUUGCUUGUUCAAUGCCCUUUUAGGUUGUCCUAUCUCACCUUAUUUAUUGAGUACUGAACCCUCAGAAUUGUUGAGUUUGCAAUUAUUGAAAGAAAAACUAAUCAUAAUUAAUCCUCUAUUGUUGUGCUUGGGGUGUUGUGGUGUAUUUUUGUUUUGUAUGUUAUGUGUUGUGUGUUGUGUUCUUCUUGUGUCUUGUGUGUUGUGCGCUUUAUACUUUUCUUGUGAGUUGUGUGCUCUGUACUUUUCUUGUGUGUUGUAUCUUUUGUGUUUUGUGAUUUGGAUUUUUUGCUUUGUGCUUUUGUUGUGGUUUGUUUUGUUGUGUGUUGUGUGUUGUGAUAUAUUUUUAUUUUAUAUAUUGUGUUGUGUAAGUUGUGUUUUGUGUUUUGUGUGAGCUAUGCGGGUUGUGCAGGCUGUGCGUGCUCUGGAGGGAGCAGAGGAGAUAGUUGAUGUUGAGUUGAGGAAAGAGGGAAAAGUUGAAAUUGGAGUGUAUAAGUAAACAUAUACAUCUCUGAUGCGUCGUCAUGUUUCAUCCACUUUUAUAGACUAGAAAGUACUUGGAUGCGUGGUGUGUUUUCUUUUGGGCUACAACACCAACACUCUUCUCCCUUUUCACAUUUGGACUCUACACACUGAUGGGACAUCAACUUGAUGCUGCAAUGGUUUUCACUUGUCUUGCAUUGUUCAACCCCUUAUUUCACCACUAAAUUCAUUCCCUUGGGUAAUUAAUGGAUUGAUUGAUGCCAUCAUAUCUUCUGGACGGUUGAGUAGGUUUCUCGCUUGUCCUGAACAUAAAUUUAAAGAUGGAGACACAAAUUCCUGUCCAUCAUCAUUCCUAAGUGAACAGUCUGAUUGUGUUCAAGGUUUGGGUGUAUUUAUCCAAGAUGCAUGUUGUACUUGGUCAAGUAGUGAGGAACAGGCAUUAAAUAUGGUGUUGAAUCAUGUGACUCUAAGUGUAUCCCAGGGUUCCUUUGUUGCAGUUAUUGGAGAGGUCAGA